GACGAACGCUGGCGGCGUGCUUAACACAUGCAAGUCGAACGGAAAGGCCCUGCUUGCAGGGUACUCGAGUGGCGAACGGGUGAGUAACACGUGGGUGAUCUGCCCUGCACUUCGGGAUAAGCCUGGGGAACUGGGUCUAAUACCGGAUAGGAGCCAUUUUUAGUGUGAUGGUUGGAAAGUUUUUUCGGUGUAGGAUGAGCUCGCGGCCUAUCAGCUUGUUGGUGGGGUAAUGGCCUACCAAGGCAGCGACGGGUAGCCGGCCUGAGAGGGUGGACGGCCACAUUGGGACUGAGAUACGGCCCAGACUCCUACGGGAGGCAGCAGUGGGGAAUAUUGCACAAGGGGCGCAAGCCUGAUGCAGCGACGCCGCGUGGGGGAUGACGGCCUUCGGGUUGUAAACUCCUUUCGCUAGGGACGAAGCUUUUUGUGACGGUACCUAGAUAAGAAGCACCGGCUAACUACGUG
RNAcentral lists this ribosomal RNA (465 nucleotides) under uncultured bacterium. RNAcentral describes it as "partial 16S ribosomal RNA". It matches the Rfam family "Bacterial small subunit ribosomal RNA", at positions 28 to 507 of the family's 1533-position model. The record is from RNAcentral.